CAGUCGCCGCGGUAAUACGUAGGGUGCAAGCGUUAAUCGGAAUCACUGGGCGUAAAGCGUGCGCAGGCGGUUUCGUAAGACAGAUGUGAAAUCCCCGGGCUUAACCUGGGAACUGCAUUUGUGACUGCGAGGCUAGAGUGUGUCAGAGGGGAGUGGAAUUCCACGUGUAGCAGUGAAAUGCGUAGAUAUGUGGAGGAACACCGAUGGCGAAGGCAGCCCCCUGGGAUAACACUGACGCUCAUGCACGAAAGCGUGGGGAGCAAACAGGAUUAGAUACCCCUGUAGUCCCUGUCUCUUAUAA
Molecule: ribosomal RNA, 301 nt
Filed under: uncultured bacterium
Lineage: Bacteria
Description: partial 16S ribosomal RNA
Rfam family: Bacterial small subunit ribosomal RNA
Source: RNAcentral